RNAcentral lists this long non-coding RNA (113 nucleotides) under Sus scrofa (pig). RNAcentral describes it as "lncRNA (ENSSSCG00015041988.1)". The record is from RNAcentral. Lineage: Eukaryota; Metazoa; Chordata; Mammalia; Artiodactyla; Suidae.
ACCCCAGAGGCGAGGUGACUGGUUCCAGUUCAGGAGCCACAGAAAGAAGCUCUGACUUGACUGCUGACUUUUGAGAACACGUGUGAAGGAGACAGGUAGGUCUCAGCCUUUAG